CGUCAUUAUCAACCAUCAAGCCUGGCUUGUCGUUGGACCCUGGUCGUUCAAGAUGACCGGUUCGAAAGAUAACGGACGGGACCGGGCGGCCCUGGAUGCAACGAGCUUCACAGCACGCAUCGAAAGGCCGGCGGCCCCGCCCUCAACCCCAUUUUUCUCAUGUUGACCUCGGAUCAGGUAGGAAUACCCGCUGAACUUAA
This 200-nucleotide unclassified non-coding RNA is filed under the name soil metagenome. Its description in RNAcentral is "partial contains internal transcribed spacer 2 and large subunit ribosomal RNA". The record is from RNAcentral.